Molecule: ribosomal RNA, 397 nt
Filed under: uncultured bacterium
Lineage: Bacteria
Description: bacterial SSU rRNA
Rfam family: Bacterial small subunit ribosomal RNA
Source: RNAcentral
CGUAUGCAAUCUACCUUAUACGAGGGGAAUACGCCCAGAAGUAAAUUUGGAUUAAUCGCCCCAUAGUGUUAUCGAAUCGCAUGGUUUGAUUAUUAAAGUUCCAACGGUAAAAGAUGAGUAUGCGUCCCAUUAGCUAGAUGGUAAGGUAACGGCUUACCAUGGCAACGAUGGGUAGGGGUCCUGAGAGGGAGAUCCCCCACACUGGUACUGAGACACGGACCAGACUCCUACGGGAGGCAGCAGUGAGGAAUAUUGGACAAUGGGCGCAAGCCUGAUCCAGCCAUGCCGCGUGCAGGAAGACGGUCCUAUGGAUUGUAAACUGCUUUAUACAGGAAGAAACACUCGGACGUGUCCGAACUUGACGGUACUGUAUGAAUAAGCAUCGGCUAACUCCGUG